GACGAACGCUGGCGGCGUGCUUAACACAUGCCAGUCGAACGGUGAAGCGCUUGCCUUUUUGGUGGGUGUGGAUGAGUGGCGAACGGGUGAGUAACACGUGAGUAACCUGCCCUCUUCUUCUGGAUAACCUCAUGAAAGUGGGGCUAAUACGGGGUAUUCCGGGUCUGUCGCAUGGCGGGUUUGGGAAAGAUUGCGCCUUUGGGUGUUUUCGGUGGGGGAUGGGCUCGCGGCCUAUCAGCUUGUUGGUGGGGUGAUGGCCUACCAAGGCGGUGACGGGUAGCCGGCCUGAGAGGGUGGACGGCCACGCUGGGACUGAGACACGGCCCAGACUCCUGUGGGAGGCAGCAGUGGGGAAUAUUGCACAAUGGGCGCAAGCCUGAUGCAGCGACGCCGCGUGAGGGAUGGAGGCCUUCGGGUUGUGAACCUCUUUCGCCAGUGAAGCAGGCCUGCUCCUGUGUGGGUGGGUUGACGGUAGCUGGAUAAGAAGCGCCGGCUAACUACGUG
RNAcentral lists this ribosomal RNA (504 nucleotides) under uncultured bacterium. RNAcentral's name for it is "partial 16S ribosomal RNA". It matches the Rfam family "Bacterial small subunit ribosomal RNA", at positions 28 to 507 of the family's 1533-position model. The record is from RNAcentral.